RNAcentral lists this non-coding RNA (782 nucleotides) under Ramulus hainanensis. Lineage: Eukaryota; Metazoa; Arthropoda; Insecta; Phasmatodea; Phasmatidae. The record is from RNAcentral.
AUUAAAUUGUUUUAUAAUAUAGUUUGAUUCUGGCUAUUUAAUUAAUUGUUAAGAAUUUAUACAUGCGGUUUUUUGAUUUGUUAAGUUGAUCUUUAUUGUUGCAGUAUUUGGUAUUAAUAUAUUAAGUUAUUUUAGAUUUAGAUAUUUUAUUUUUUAUUGUAAAAUUUUGUGCCAGCAUACGCGGUUAUACAAUUUGAUGAUAUUUAAUUUUUUUGGUUAAAAUUAAGUUAAAAAUUUUUUUUUGAUUAUAUUAUUUUUGUUUUUAGGUGAAAUUUAAAUUUAAAAUAAGAUUAAUUUAAUGAUUCUUUUAAAUAUAAAGUUUAAACUAGGAUUAGAUACCCUAUUAUUUUAUUUGUUAUUUUUUACCUGGGUAGUAAUAGUUAUGUUCUUUAAACCUAAAGAAUUUGGCGGUAAUUUAGUCUGUUCAGAGGAACCUGUUCUGUGAUCGAUAAUCCACGAUUUGUUAUACUUGAUUUUGUUUAUUCAGUAUGUAUACCGCCGUUAUAAGUUUAUUUUAUUAGAAUUUAAAUUUACUUUAUAUAUUAUUUUAUAUUAUUUCAGGUCAAGGUGCAGUUUAUAGUUAAGUAGUUAUGGGUUACAAUAUUAUUUAAAUAAAUGGAUAUAAAAUUUUAUAUUUUAUUGAAGGCGGAUUUGAUAGUAAUGUUAUAUAUUAUGUAUAUUGAUUUUAGCUCUAAAUUAAGCACAUAUCGCCCGUCACUCUCAAUUAAGUUGAGAUAAGUCGUAACAAAGUAGGCGUACUGGAAGGUGUGCCUAGAAUGAAU